GUGGUGGUAGUAUAGUGGCUAAGGAGCUGGUCUAGCGAGCCAGAGAAGUUGUGGGUUCAAUUCCCAACUGCCACC
This 75-nucleotide transfer RNA is filed under the name Alosa alosa (allis shad). RNAcentral describes it as "tRNA-OTHER". It matches the Rfam family "tRNA". From Rfam's summary of the family: Transfer RNA (tRNA) molecules are approximately 80 nucleotides in length. Their secondary structure includes four short double-helical elements and three loops (D, anti-codon, and T loops). The record is from RNAcentral. Lineage: Eukaryota; Metazoa; Chordata; Actinopteri; Clupeiformes; Clupeidae.